AAUAUUGGAAAAGGGGGGCAACCCUGAUCCAGCCAUGCCGCGUGUGUGAAGAAGGUCUUAGGAUUGUAAAGCACUUUAAGUUGGGAGAAAGGGCUUUAGGUUAAUACCCUGAAGUUUUGACGAUAACAACAGAAUAAGCACCGGCUAACGCUGUGCCAGCAGCCGCGGUAAUACAGAGGGUGCAAGCGUUAAUAGGAAUUACUGGGCGUAAAGCGCGCGUAGGUGGUUCAGUAAGAUGGGUGUGAAAACCCCGGGCUUAACCUGGGAACUGCUUUCAUAACUGCUGAGCUAGAGUACGGUAGAGGGUAGUGGAAUUUCCUGUGUAGCGGUGAAAUGCGUAGAUAUAGGAAGGAACACCAGUGGCGAAGGCGACUACCUGGACUGAUACUGACACUGAGGUGCGAAAGCGUGGGGAGCAAACA
RNAcentral lists this ribosomal RNA (422 nucleotides) under uncultured bacterium. RNAcentral's name for it is "partial 16S ribosomal RNA". It matches the Rfam family "Bacterial small subunit ribosomal RNA", at positions 360 to 774 of the family's 1533-position model. The record is from RNAcentral.